UUCAUCCAGUUCCUCUUUCUCUCUCUAAGUUCAGCUUCAUUUUCUUAUUCUUGCUCUGACUUCUCUCUACUUUUCCACCACUUCCCACCGUUGAAAUUUCAAAUAGGUAGUGUGUUUCGUUCACGGAGUUGAGAGCUUUCCCUUCAUCCGAUUAGAUUUUCGUUUUGGACGGAUCCUGUUGAACUUGCUUCUGUGCAAGAGUACUGUUUUGGGGUUUCCUCUAAAGAGUGUUGUGCUUGUAACCACUAAGAGGAGGUGUCUGUGGAGCAAGCGCUGGAAGACGGUGAUGUUGCAGCUUAGUAUGUCUAGGAUCUUGAUUAGUAGUAUUAUUCUGAUGAUAAUUCACAGUGGUCCUUUAUGUUUAAGAGACCAACUCUGAUUUUAUUUUGGAUGACUGUAACCAAUAUAGUCUGUUAUAUGUCUCUAACUACUUUUCAAUAUUAUAAUUGAAUGACG
RNAcentral lists this small RNA (456 nucleotides) under Vigna angularis var. angularis. RNAcentral describes it as "Non-protein coding transcript". The record is from RNAcentral. Lineage: Eukaryota; Viridiplantae; Streptophyta; Magnoliopsida; Fabales; Fabaceae.